RNAcentral lists this unclassified non-coding RNA (211 nucleotides) under rhizosphere metagenome. RNAcentral's name for it is "partial ribosomal RNA internal transcribed spacer region". The record is from RNAcentral.
AAUGAACCACCUUUGGGUCGAGUCUCUGCUAGCUUGCUGGCAUUGAUUCCCCUUUGGUAUAAACCACUGUGCACCGUAAUGUUUUUUGGGAGAUUGUGGAUAGGGUAACACCGGUCCUGCUCUCAGCUGUAUCAACUAACCUAUUAAAUUUAUCUGAUUUUUUUCGUAAAUGAAAAUAAAAACAACUUUAGACAACGGAUCUCUUGGCUCU